RNAcentral lists this long non-coding RNA (4375 nucleotides) under Callithrix jacchus (white-tufted-ear marmoset). Its description in RNAcentral is "lncRNA (ENSCJAG00000075494.1)". The record is from RNAcentral. Lineage: Eukaryota; Metazoa; Chordata; Mammalia; Primates; Cebidae.
AAGCGAAAGCAGCAAACACCACUUGGUUGCUGAAUUGUGCAGCCAUUAUGGAAAUGCACACCUGUUCAAUUGGUUUUGGGACAGUCUUCAUUUCGAUUAGGGUUUCGUUUCCUUCGAAGGUGGACCUGUUCUUGAGGGAAACUGGCUCAUAUCAUUUCAUGUUCUGGAAGUCUAAGUAUUGUGCCUACACAUCAGCACUUAUAACUUUGGAAAGAUGUUUUUGCACAAAGCACCUGAGUCUGAAAUUUGCAUGAAGCUCCCUUCUGGAGAAAUAAAUGUCUCAGGGGAAAAAAGUAAAAUAGAAUAAAAUGACAAAAAUGAUUUUCAAUUCUAAAGCUUGAACUCUUUUCCAGAGCUUCAUUUAGUUAACUUGCUGUCUGCAUAAUUAGUUCCAUUUUAUAACUUUCAGAAAUAAGGCCACAGGCUUAGGAGCUGAGAUCACAAAAGAGUGUCUAAAGUCAAGUGGCUUUCCUGCAUCUGUUACUCACCUCAGAAACACCCCAGCACCCAUAGCAGAGUGCUUGACAGAGAGCCCACAGUUAGGGUUGGAUAAGCCAGUACUGAGCACUGUCUGUGUUGGAAGCUGGAGAGAGUUUUAUCUCGUAAAGUUCGUUUUAUAACUUUCAGACACACUUUUGUAAAGUGCUGGCUGGGAUCUAAGGAUUGGCAACUGUUUGCCAAACCCGUUCUUUUCCUUCCUGGGACAACUAGUCUGCAGUUCUCACCGCCUUUGCAGCUCACUUAGUCACAUGAUAGAGUUCUAGCCAAUGGAGUGUCCCCAUCCUAAUGAGUCCCUUCUAGGACUCACAUUCUUUCUCCUUGCUGCAAAGCUCCCUGUUGAAGAUGGCAGAGACAGAGGAGGCACCGUCAGGGUCCCUGCACCUGCAUGCCUGUCUAUCUGGCACACCACAUUGGACUGUUAGGUGAUCAAGAAAACAAGCUCCCACUAUGCUAAGCCACUGGGACUGGGGUUUAUUUGUUGGACACCUGGCAUAACCCUAACUGAAAAAUCCACUUUAUGUUGUGUUUGGAAAAUGAGGACAAAGAAGCAAAAUAUCUCUAAUGAGUUCUCUGUGAAACUAGACUUGCCCUGAGGUGGGCUGCUUGUCUUGUUUCUCUGAGUGCCUUCAGUGGACCUUUGGAAACUGCUGCUGUUUUGGAGCAAAUUUAGGUAGUUUCAAUAGUAUGUUUGAAGUUUUUCUGUGUUAAAAUUGAAAAAAAUUAGUAAUUUGUGGAUGCAAAUUCUUCAUAGCUUUCACAACUGAAGAAAACUUUCCAGAUGUUUCACAAAGCACUAAAAUACUGUACAUUGUUUUCUUUUUCAAUGGGAAAUUAUUCAUAGAGCAAUAAAAAGUUGUUUUUUCAGUAAACAGAUUAUGUUUCAGUCUGCGGUGUGAACACUUAAAUGGAACGAUGCAAUAUGCCACUUUUUAAAAGAGGGGUUUAAACAUGUCAGUACAAACCUUUCAAUCCUCUGUCCCAUAAAUUCAACUUUUUAAAAUGAAAUCAACCUGAGCCCUGUGAAAGCUCAUACUACUAUAUCAAAACCAGUGAAAUUUGCCUGUUUAUCGCCACCUUUGGAAUGUGGCAAAGAAACAUUCUUUUCAUAUGGGACAAUUUCUUCAACUUUACACCAAGUGAAAUUUAAUUGCUUUUCACUUCCUGGAAUCAUUAGGCAUUAGUUCUCCUGGAGGUGAAGCAAAAAGAGAAGCUGAAAAAUAAGUCUCUGUUUAAUACAUUUCACCUUCGAAUUUUAUCCUUCUUCCCUCUCCUACUGGUUAUACAGCAAGUUUGAGCCUGGGAAGCCACUUCAGAAACCUUUAAGAGUUCUCAUCAACACAGAUACAUUGACACAAAGCAGUUCUUCACGUCUCAACCAAUACUGUCAGUGAAACAAUUGGAAUGUCAGGUUCUUUGAAGUUAGCUUUUCAGAAUUUUUUUCCAAGAUAGAGUCUUGCUCUGUCACCUAGGCUGGAGUGCAAUGGAGCGAUCUUGGCUCACUGCAACCUCCACCUCCCUGGUUCAAGCAAUUCUCCUGCCUCAGCCUUCUGAGUAGCUGGGAUUACAGGUGCCUGCCACCAUACCUAGCUAAUUUUUGUAUUUUUAGUAGAGAUGGGGUUUCACCAUGUUGGCUAGGCUGGUCUCAAACUCAUGAUCUCAUGAUUCACCUGCCUUGGCCUCCCGAAGUGCUGGGAUUACAGGUGUGAGCCACAUCGCCCUGCCGGAAUGUUUUUAUCUUUACAGAAAUGUAGUAAGUGCAGUAGCAAGUAAGCAAACAGAAGCCCGAGCAAAGCCUUCUUCAGGCUAUGGUUGUGUCACAAUGGAGGAACAAUAGAAUUGUACAGAACAAGUAUAGUAGAGUAAUUUAAUUCACAUCACAACAUGUCAUUUCACUCUUCAAAGGGAUUUGUGGGUUCUUUUAUAUUUAUUCUUUUUAUAUUUAAUGAUAAAUCGUAUAUUAAAGUUCCUCAUAGAGUAUUUGAAAGCAGAUUAUGGUAAUUACCUAACAAAGAGGAUGAGAAGGAAUAAAAUUAAAGACCCUUGUUAAAGUCACUGCCAGAAAUGUGGAUGAACACUCUGCAAAGACACGGAAGACGAAAGGAAAGCGGGAGUCAAUGAGAAGGAGCAUAGUGUGCAGGUCACAGCCAUGCUGUAAUGUGAGGUAUACUCAUGCUGCAUUGUGAAUGUCUUGUUUCACUCUUUGGGAUCCUCACCCCAUGAUAAUGUGCAAAAUGCUCAUGGUAAUUACAAGACAGGACACUGCUAAUAGCUGACUGAGACUGAAAGACUUUAACGUAAUAUCCCUCUUUGGGAGGUACCAAAGAUGAAUAUUGGAAAACAUAGGAUGAAAGUUGAAAAAUGUACAAAGGAGGAACAUAGCAUGACUUUUUCUUGGGGUAGAUAUGGAAGAAGAAAGAUGAUUAAGUGAGAGCAGCACUUUCUUUAUGGGCAAGAACUCCCAUGUGUACACAAAUUGGUUUUGUAGUUCAGUAGAACUGGAAUCUGAGCGUCCUACAAAUCUUGUUUUUUUUUUUUUUUUUUUUUUUUUUUCAAAACAGUGGCAACCAUUCUUUCUUAAUGGAUAACUACAUACUGCGUGUGUGUGUGUGUGUGCACAUGAUGAAUAAAAUUAUUAUCUCCCACUCAAGAGUUUUUAAAUGUGGAUAAUUUUGGUGCUAAAAACCCAAUUUGAUUAAAGUCUCUGUAUUUCACUAUGUUUGAUUAUCCAGAUAGCCAAUUUAUUGAAGAAGUAUUUUCAAGAUAGGACUAGAGGACGUAUUUUUUUUUAACUGUUUAUUAGCUUGAUCCAAAGCUUAUAAAUAUUCAGACCAGUGGUUUUGGGACCCCCACUGUACUCUUGAACUAGGUCACACAAUUGUUGGGGAACCCUGGGCCUCCUAAGUCUGCAACCAACCAAAAUCCCUUGGCUUCUUUAAUUUCUCUACCUUACAACCAAUAGACUGUAAAGAUUUUUCCCCUCUGAAACACCCUUUGAUCUGUACUGAAUUUCAUCUGAAUGUAAAGUUUCGUAAGGAGGGGUUUGGCCUUGUUAAAAACUCUCUUGCAUAGUGUAGGAAUGUUUUUUAAGGGCUUAUAUGUAGUUCUAAUCUAGGCAUUGGGGUAGUUACACUAGCCAAACAGACCUAAUCUUUGCAUUUUUGACUAAGUGGGCGGGGGGGCGGUGGACAUUGAACAGCAGGUGAUUUCAAUAGCUUGUUAGCGAUUUACUGUUAUGGUCAGUGUGAUGAAAGAUGCCUGUGGAAUCUGAGUGUAUAUGAGGUAGAGCUGGUAAAAACGUCCUCAAGAAAGUGACUCUUAUGCCGAAACUUCAAGGUUAAGUAGCAUUUGGCCAGAAAAACAGUCACAGGAAGCACCUUGGGUAGAGUCUUGGUUCAGGGUGGCUAGAGAUGGGCAGUAUGGCAGAAGAGGAGGCUGGAGCAGGUAAUUAGCUGGGGAGGAGCUGGUCUGCAGAAGGUAGAGUUCAGUGGUGGGAAGCUGGUGUCCAUUUCUGGAGCAAGAAGUUUGAAAGGGGCUUUACCUAACUAAAUAUUACUUGCAAAGAUUUUAGCCUGUCCAUCCUUACUGGAGUGGGUUUGGAGUUGGAGGGGAUGGUCCAUCAUUUUUCACCUGGGUCUGACCUAUUCUUUUUUAAUUUUAAUUUUUUUCAGAGAUAGGAUUUUACUCUGUCACCUAGGCUAGAGUGCAGUGGCAUGAUCAUAGCUCUGUGCAGCCUUGAACACCUGGGCUCAAGCAAUCCUCCUGCCUCAGCUUCUCAAGUAGCUGGGAUGACAGGUGAUAAUGACCAUGUCCAGCUAAUUUUUAUUUAUUUAUUUUUUUGCAGAGACGGGGUCUCACUAUGCUACCCAGGCUGGUC